Molecule: ribosomal RNA, 492 nt
Filed under: uncultured Actinomycetes bacterium
Lineage: Bacteria; Bacillati; Actinomycetota; Actinomycetes
Description: bacterial SSU rRNA
Rfam family: Bacterial small subunit ribosomal RNA
Source: RNAcentral
GACGAACGCUGGCGGCGCGCUUAACACAUGCAAGUCGAGCGAGAACCGGAGCUUCGGCUCCGGGGACAGCGGCGAACGGGUGAGUAACACGUGGAUAACCUGCCCUCGGCACCGGGAUAGCCCGGGGAAACCCGGAUUAAUACCGGAUGGCCCUUCCGACUCUCGAGUCGGUCGGAAAAGGUAGCUUCGGCCUCCGGCCGAGGAUGGGUCCGCGGCGGAUUAGCUUGUUGGUGGGGUAACGGCCUACCAAGGCGACGAUCCGUAGCUGGUCUGAGAGGACGAUCAGCCACACUGGGACUGAGACACGGCCCAGACUCCUACGGGAGGCAGCAGUGGGGAAUCUUGCGCAAUGGGCGAAAGCCUGACGCAGCGACGCCGCGUGAGGGAAGAAGGCCUUCGGGUUGUAAACCUCUUUCAGGAGGGACGAAGCUACUCGGGUUAAUAGCCCAGAGGGUGACGGUACCUCCAGAAGAAGCCCCGGCUAACUACGUG